RNAcentral lists this ribosomal RNA (136 nucleotides) under uncultured eukaryote. RNAcentral's name for it is "partial 18S ribosomal RNA". It matches the Rfam family "Eukaryotic small subunit ribosomal RNA", at positions 1299 to 1458 of the family's 1831-position model. The record is from RNAcentral.
UGGUGGAGUGAUUUGUCUGGUUAAUUCCGAUAACGAGCGAGACCUCCGUCCGUUUUUUGAUCCAGCCGCGUGAGCGGAUGGUAAUUUUUUACGGAGACUGACUAUGGUUAAUAGUCGGAAGCUGGAGGCAAUAACA